RNAcentral lists this non-coding RNA (842 nucleotides) under Amborella trichopoda. Its description in RNAcentral is "Bacterial small subunit ribosomal RNA". It matches the Rfam family "Bacterial small subunit ribosomal RNA", at positions 686 to 1533 of the family's 1533-position model. Lineage: Eukaryota; Viridiplantae; Streptophyta; Magnoliopsida; Amborellales; Amborellaceae. The record is from Rfam by way of RNAcentral.
AUGAAUCAGUCUUUUCAUGGACCACAAUGGUAUAUCUUUGCCUACUAGGCAAGAUGAUAACAAGUUACAAAUUUGUCUCGUAGGAUUAGAUGCCCCUGUAUUCUCAAAUGUAAACGAUGGAUAUUAUGCACUGUGCGUAUCGACCCGUGCAGUGCUGUAGCUAACUCGUUAAGUAUCCUUCAUGGGGAGUACAUUAGCAAGAAUGAAACUCAAAAGAAUUGGCCGGGGACCCGCACAAGCGGUGGAGCAUGUGGUUUAAUUUGAUGCAAAGUGAAGAACCUUACCAAGGCUUGACAUGCCCCGAAUCCUCUUCAAAGAGAGGGGUACCUUCGGGAAUGCAGACACAGGUGCUGCAUGGCUGUCGUCAGCUCGUGUUGUAAGGUGUUGGGUUAAGUCCCACAACGAGCACGACCCUCGUGUUUAGUUGCCACCAUUGUGUUUGGAACCCUGAAUAGACUGCCGGUGAUAAGCCGGAGGAAGGUGAGGAUGACGUCAAGUCAUCAUGUGCCUUAUGCCCUGGGCGACACAUGUGCUAUAAUGGCCAGGACAAAGGUCGCGAUCCUGCGAGGGUGAGCUAAUUCCAAAAACUCGUCCUCAGUUCGGAUUGCAGGUUGUAACUCUCCUGCAUGAAGCUAGAAUCGUUAGUAAUAGCCGGUCAGCCAUACAGUGGUGAAUUCACUCCCGGGCCUUGUACACACCGCCCCAUCACACUAUGGGAGCUGGCCAUGCUUGAAGUCGUUACCUUAACUGUAAGGAGGGGGAUGCCGAAGGUGGGGCUAGUGACUGGAUUGAAGUCGUAACAAGGUAGCUGUACUGGAACAUGUGACUCGAUCACCUCCUUU